This 462-nucleotide ribosomal RNA is filed under the name uncultured bacterium. RNAcentral's name for it is "partial 16S ribosomal RNA". It matches the Rfam family "Bacterial small subunit ribosomal RNA", at positions 28 to 507 of the family's 1533-position model. The record is from RNAcentral.
GACGAACGCUGGCGGCGUGCUUAACACAUGCAAGUCGAACGGAAAGGCCCUUCGGGGUACUCGAGUGGCGAACGGGUGAGUAACACGUGGGUGAUCUGCCCUGCACUUUGGGAUAAGCCUGGGAAACUGGGUCUAAUACCGAAUAGGACCACGCGCUUCAUGGUGUGUGGUGGAAAGCUUUUGCGGUGUGGGAUGGGCCCGCGGCCUAUCAGCUUGUUGGUGGGGUAAUGGCAUACCAAGGCGACGACGGGUAGCCGGCCUGAGAGGGUGACCGGCCACACUGGGACUGAGAUACGGCCCAGACUCCUACGGGAGGCAGCAGUGGGGAAUAUUGCACAAUGGGCGCAAGCCUGAUGCAGCGACGCCGCGUGAGGGAUGACGGCCUUCGGGUUGUAAACCUCUUUCAAUAGGGACGAAGCGCAAGUGACGGUACCUAUAGAAGAAGCACCGGCCAACUACGUG